This 468-nucleotide ribosomal RNA is filed under the name uncultured bacterium. Its description in RNAcentral is "partial 16S ribosomal RNA". It matches the Rfam family "Bacterial small subunit ribosomal RNA", at positions 28 to 507 of the family's 1533-position model. The record is from RNAcentral.
GACGAACGCUGGCGGCGUGCUUAACACAUGCAAGUCGAACGGAAAGGCCCUGCUUUUGUGGUGUGCUCGAGUGGCGAACGGGUGAGUAACACGUGAGUAACCUUCCCUUGACUUUGGGUUAACUUCAGGAAACUGGGGCUAAUACCCGAUCGGAGCUCCUGCUGCAUGGUGGGGGUUGGAAAGUUGCGGCGGUUGGGGAUGGACUCGCGGCUUAUCAGCUUGUUGGUGGGGUAGUGGCUUACCAAGGCUUUGACGGGUAGCCGGCCUGAGAGGGUGGCCGGCGACAUUGGGACUGAGAUACGGCGCAGACGCCUACGGGAGGCAGUAGUGGGGAAUAUUGCACAACGGGCGGAAGCCUGAGGCAGAAACGCCGCGGGCGGGAAGAAGGCCUUCGGGGAGUAAACCGCUUUCGCCUGUGACGAAGCGUGAGUGACGGUAAUGGGUAAAGAAGCACCGGCUAACUACGUG